UCUGAGUUAAAAGCUCAGCACUAACCUUGCCUUGACUGAUCAGGACUCCUCAGGUCACCUUCUCACAAUGAGGCUCCCUGCUCAGCUCCUGGGACUGCUAAUGCUCUGGCUUCCUGGAUCCAGUGGGGACAUUGUGAUGACCCAGACUCCACUCUCCCUGCCCGUCACCCCUGGAGAGCCGGCCUCCAUCUCCUGCAGGUCUAGUCAGAGCCUCUUUGAUAGUGAUUAUGGAUACACCUAUUUGGAUUGGUACCUGCAGAAGCCGGGCCAGUCUCCACAGCUCUUGAUCUAUGAGGUUUCCAACCGGGCCUCUGGAGUCCCAGACAGGUUCAGUGGCAGUGGGUCAGACACUGAUUUCACACUGAAAAUCAGCAGGGUGGAGGCUGAGGAUGUUGGGGUGUAUUACUGCAUGCAAGCUCUAGAGCUUCCUCCCACAGUGGUACAGCCCGGAACAGAAACCUCCCUGCUGGUGUGUCUCAGCUGCUCACAUGUGCUGCUUGUCUGGGGAGCAGUUCAGCAGGGUCUCUGA
This is a non-coding RNA of Piliocolobus tephrosceles (Ugandan red Colobus), 529 nucleotides long. NCBI's taxonomy places the organism in Eukaryota, Metazoa, Chordata, Mammalia, Primates, Cercopithecidae. The record is from the annotation of a RefSeq genome assembly.